This 253-nucleotide ribosomal RNA is filed under the name uncultured bacterium. Its description in RNAcentral is "partial 16S ribosomal RNA". It matches the Rfam family "Bacterial small subunit ribosomal RNA", at positions 524 to 776 of the family's 1533-position model. The record is from RNAcentral.
UACGAGGGGGGCGAGCGUUGUUCGGAAUUAUUGGGCGUAAAGGGUGCGUAGGCGGUUUGGUAAGUCUUGUGUGAAAUCUUCGGGCUCAACUCGAAGUCUGCACGAGAAACUGCCGGGCUUGAGUAUGGGAGAGGUGAGUGGAAUUCCCGGUGUAGCGGUGAAAUGCGUAGAUAUUGGGAGGAACACCGGUGGCGAAGGCGGCUCACUGGCCCGGUACUGACGCUGAGGCGCGAAAGCGUGGGGAGCAAACAGG